UGCUUUGUUGAUGUUCUGAAC
Non-coding RNA from Caenorhabditis elegans, 21 nucleotides. The record is from Ensembl. NCBI's taxonomy places the organism in Eukaryota, Metazoa, Nematoda, Chromadorea, Rhabditida, Rhabditidae.